ACUAACUAGAACCGAAGACAGCAAGACGAUAAGUCUCAGGUCGUAGUGAAGCGAAUCAAGAAGAUAAUGUCAGUAUAUAUUACAAGGUCCUCAGGGCUCACAAAGUCCUUCCUUCAUGAAACAGUAUCAGGAAAAAGAAGAAGAGGCAAAAGACAGAGAGGAAUGGCGAAAGACGACUAACAGAUCUUGUGCGGUGCCUUAAGGGUCCAACAGAUUAAGGGAUAGGUGAAGGUCAAUGUAAAGCAAGAAUCUCUUUGGUUUCUUUGUUGAUUUCAAGAAGGUUUCCGACAGGGCACUGAGCACUUUGGUCACAAUGGAAAAUACAAUAUAAAAAAUCCAGAGCCUUUACGACUAGGCCAAAAUGCAGUGUGCAUCAAGAAAAACAUUGGGGACUGGUUUAAAACCACAGAGAGAGAGAGAGAGAGAGAGAGGGCUGAUUACUUUCACAAACACGUUUCUGUAUCUUCCUUGAUAGGAUAAUUAGGAUAAAUGAGGAUGCUUUGACUAGAGUAACGCCUUUAGUAAAAUCACUAAAUUUCUUCAGGACAGAAGACUCAAAAGUAAAGUAGCAAUUAUACAUAAAACACUGAACCAUAAUCUUCAAAUACAAAAACAAAAUUUAAUAAAAUACUCUGAAAGACACAAAGAUAAAGGCACAUUCCUCAUCCCAUAUGCUAGGACAAAUUUGUACAAAUACUCCUUCUUCCCUAGUGUUAUUAGAGCAUGGAAUGGGUUACCUGAGCUAGCCAGGAAAACCAGUGACUUGGCAGAAUUUAAGUCAUUGGUUAAUAUGCAUGACUGAAUGCAUGACGCGUAGAACGUAAUCAUCUACUUUUUUGAAGUAACGUCUGUAUUAUAUAAGAUAACAGAGUACUGUAACCAUUGGAAGAAGAAUUACAAACUUGCACUUUGCAGAGGUCAAAUAUGGUCUGGCAGGGACAGAAGAAGCACCAGCUGACUUAGUGAUGCGAAUAGACAAGAAUUCCGCAGCAAAUGGCAUGAAAAUCAAUGCCGCAAAAACACAUUAUGACCAAAAAAAUGGACGUCAAUAUUACGUUUCAGAAGAAGGAAACAUCCCUGAACCAGAGCACAGCAACACUUGCGAAUCUCAAGACUCUAUUGAGAGACAAAAGAAUAUCUCCAGCAUUGUAUUCGGACUGAUGCUCUCCUUGGUCAUGACGACAUGCUUUUAUUCUUGCAAAUCUGGACUUUAACUGCAGAAAUAGAGAAGAGGAUUUUAGAUAUGAACUCAAGCUGCUAUUGAAGGAUCAUAAGUAUCACCUAUAAAGGCCGCACCAUAAAUGACUGAAUCCGAGACAGGAUCACAAUGGCAACUGGCACCCACGAUGGCCCGCUGACGAAGCUGACUACUGUAAAAAAAAAAAUAAAUAAAUAAAUAAAUAAAAAGCCACGCAAACGUAUACAGUAUGGCCAUAUCACAAAGUCCUUAGGACUCACGAAGACCUUUCUGCAGGGAACAGAACCAGGGGAAAAAAGAGGCGAUGGGAAGACAGCAUGAAAAAAACGGACGAGCCUGUCAAUAAAAGAGAUUGAAGUCUAGCAAAAGGCACUUCUCACAGAGCCCUAACACUGCCAACAAUCAUUUAAGAGACUAGCAUAAGGUGUACCUGGGUGACCUUGGGCGAUCUCACACAAUUAUUCUGUAUAUAUUGUAACCUGGGUCAAUCAUUCCCGCUACCUAGCAGCCAGGGUCAACUCGAGAAUAGAUCUGUGGCAGGAUAUUCAAUACAUCAAGAAAGUGUCUUGAAAAGAGCAUCCUUUGCCCUUUUUAAAAGAUGAACAAAUAUUGAAAGUGUUUCGCUUUGCACAGUGAACUCUUCAAGGUCAUCGAGUUACGUCAAACAUUGGCUUUCAAAUUUGGACAAAAUUUAAGAUCUAUCACCAAAACUCGAACAAUAAUGAGAGAGUAGGAUUUUUGUUUUCAAACGUUCCAUCAGGUUGUUACACGUCCUUGGCAGAAUAGACCCCCAUCAAGAGAGUGAGAGAGAGAGAGAGAGAGAGAGAGGGGGGGGAGAGGAAGAGAGAGAGAAAAAGUAAGAGAGAGAGAGAGAGUAAAAGGAAUUAAGAGAGAGAAAGAGAAAGAGAUGGUCUACUCUUCUACUAAACUUUCACUCAAAUCUUUGAUGGUUUACUAGCUUCAUAGGGCUAUCUCUUCAAUAUUUUCCAGUUGUGAAUGACCAUCUUUGAAAUGAACGAUUAAAAUGUACAAACUAAAACAAAAACAAAAAAAAACUGACAUCUUUCCCCAUUUUUAACCUUGCUGAUGCUUUCAUACUAGCUACAAGCAAAGGGAAAUUGAAUAGAACUACGCUCUGUGACUCUGUGACUCUGUGUCUCUGUUACUCUGUGUCUCUGUGUCUAGAGCAAGGGACAAAGUUAGAUAAGAGAGGGAAAAAGAGAAUACAAGAUACAUAAGGCCAAUAGAAUCCAUUUCGUUGUGCAUAGGGCGUGGCCCUGAGAGUCCUCAUGCUUCUCUCGUUAGCAAGAUCCAGACAUCGUCCUCUCUGUGUUGUGCCUUUCUUUACUUCUAGUCUAUCAUUGUUUUUAAAAUUUCUCAUUUAAAUGAUGUAUUUUCUGCAUUAUCCAUUUUUUACACUCUUUCUUUCUCUCUCACUCCAUCAUCAUCUCUCUAUUUCUCUCUCUCUCUCUCUAUUUUUCCCAAAUUUUUUCUCUCUUCCUCCCUCUCAUGCUCUCUCUCUCCUCCCCCCUCUCUCUCUCUCAUGCUCUCUCGUGGUCUCUCUCACUCUGUUUACUUUUACCAAUAGCUCCUCCCAAUCACUGCCGUAGUUUUGUUCCACCAAGUCACACCCCCCACUGACUCUCCCUCUCUCUGCACACACACACACACAUACCCGGACGACCCGGGUGUGUGUUUACAUUACAAUGCAUCUGCCCGUAAAGGACACCACUGGAGCGGGGCGAGCAAGCGUGAAGGGUAAAGCGGCCCAGCCAGGGGGACGUGAGGGCACUUGGAAGGAAGGGCGGCGGCGGAGGUAUCAGGACCUGAAGUCGUUCAUCCAGGGUCUGAGUGACCUCUAUGACAUUGACAAAAAAAAAACACCUUCGAAGAUUAUUUAUUUUUUAGCGUUCGUCACCCGUUUGACAUUUCUUUUUGGCCUCAUUCUGAGGUCAUCUGCCACGGAUGCUUCGUUCUAGAGACGACAUUAGCAUCUUUUUACCUAACACCCACCAUCCACCUACCCACAGGCACCCAUCUCUUUCAAAGUAAUCUUUUAUAGAGCAGAGUUUGUUUGUAAGAUUAUUUUUUUUUUCACUUUUUUUUUUGUACUGAAAAGAGAGUCUCCCUAUACCUACAUUUUCACAUCUAUAUCUGGUCCAGAACUGUAACGGGACAUAAUCCACAAACAAGUAGGCUACAUGUAGGCUACAUGACAUCUGCCAUGAGUGAUGUACCUUCAGUUUCUAACACCAAAAAUAGAGAGAGAGGAAAAAGUGUAAAGGUCGAAUGAAAGACAUUUUGUUUAUAAAUCUUGUGGUUAUUAUGAAAUUGAAUGUUUGCGCUUUCAUCGUUUAAGCCUGGUCUAAACUAUGACAGAGGCAUGAUCAGGUUUAUCAGAAACAUUUUUGUCAGAAAAAAACCCAAUGCAGGCAAUAGAAUAUAUUGAGCCAGACUUAGCAGCAUUAAUUAGAUCUACCGCUUUCAUUAACAGGUGGCGCAUUGCAGAAAAGACAUUGCCCGAGAGGAUUCGACGCUUUAGAUGAUCAUUCAGCUUCUAGGCAUCGUUAGAGCUGGUCAUCAUCAUCAUCACUCCUUUGAAUUCCUCGUGGAACAUAGGGCCUCGACAAAAACACGCCACUCUCCACGGUCUAGUUUUUUGAUGGUUUCCCAGCUCUUCCCGGUCUUCUCUGCUUCUUCAAGUACACUGCGUCGCCAUGUUCUUUUUGGUCUUCCUCUGCGUCUUGUUCUCUGGGGAUUCCACUCUAAGGCCUUCCUAGCUCUGUUGCUGGUAUCUUUUCUAAGCGUGUGACCAAUCCAUCUCCACUUCCUCUCUAAGAUCUUCACUUCUAUAUUUUUCUGUCCACUCAUCUCCCACAGUUUGGUGUUUUCUACUUUGUCAUAACAGUGUAUUUUUAGGAUAUUUCUCAGGCAUCUGUUGAUGAAGGUCUGUAUUUUCUUUGUUGUGGCUUCAGUAGUUCUCCAUGUUUCAGAACCAUACAGUAGGACAGCCUUGACAUUAGAGUUAAAGAUUCUUAGUUUAGUCUUGUUUGAGAUUUGAGGAGAUUUUCAGGUUGGUUUUAGCUGUGUAAAUGUCUGACUCGCUAGAUUUAUACGGCGUUUAAUGUCUUCAUCUGUUCCACCUGAUAUACUGACUACACUCCCAAGGUAUAUAACAUUUUCUACUUGGUCUAUUGUCUGAGAAUCCAGUACUAUGUCUCCAAAUUGUUUAUUGUUUACUUUAAGUACUUUAGUUUUUUGGUGGUUUAUUUUGAGGCCUACUCUUUUUCCUACUUCGCUUAAAGCUGUGACCUUUUCUUGCAUAUCUUGUAGUCUGUGUGAUAAUAGGGCUAUGUCAUCAGUGAAUUCCAGAUCUUCCAGCUUUUGUGUGAGAGUCCAUUGGAUUCCUUUCUCUGCGUUAGAGUAGGCUUCUUUUGUGACCCAAUCCAAUACUAGAAGGAACAGGAGUGGUGAAAGAAGACAUCCCUGUUUGACUCCUGUUGUGACUGGAAAUUCCUCUGACAGCUUGCCACAGUGGGUUACUUGGCAGGUGAAACCAUCAUAAAGGUUCUUGAUUAUGGUUAUUAUUUUAUUGGGGAUCCCAUAAUGUCCCAUUACAGUCCAAAUAGAUUCUCUGUUAGAGCUGGUAGACAGCAACUUAAGUUGUUUUUUUUCUUUUUUACAAGAUAUGUUUCAAACUAACAUAACAUUGUUUGUAUGCAGGCAUACUAUAACAAAUGCAACAUAAUUCUCUGAUAAUAAUUUAUCAAGAACAAAUAGAUAAGAUUUGUGAAAAUUACUCUAGUUCUUUUUUCUGCAAGACAGGUCUUGAGAAGUUGCAAAAGUCUUGAGAAGUUGCUAAAGACUCCAAUGUUUGAGGAUCUUUAAGUUGUAGUUAUUUGUUGAAAUAGAUACUUCUUAUUGUUAAUAACAAGAAACCAAAGGGAGUGGGUGGGGGGGGGGUGGUAAGGUUCCCACUCCAUAUCCAGGAUCAUGCCUUUAAUCAUUUUAGACUUUUUUGCAGACAUAUCCUCAGCUAAUAUCUUUGCAAAUAGCAAACAUAUUUUUGGGUCCCGGGCUUGGUGCCCUGCUAGCGUGUGAUACCUCACACCGGUGCUUAGUACGCCAUAAGAUUACUACAGUACUCUUAGUGCCCAAUAAAACCACGUCUGCAGAAAAACGAUUUUUUUUUGCAGAGUUCAUGCAAAAUCACCUCUGUUCACUGAACCGUUAAAACAGUCUAGCAUACAGGUCAGAGGUUAAGGACGCUAAAUACAUAAAAACGGGUACCAUUAUAUUUUUAGAAAGACGACAUAUGUGUGUGUGUGUUUAGGAAUAUGUGGACCUUUUAACUCAAUGUGAAUGUGUGCUUAUGUCUGCGACAUGUGUGUGUGUGUGUCUGUCUGUUUGCAAAUACUGAUGGCCUUACAUGAAACUUAUAUUUAGGACAGGGUCGUUUAGGGUUCGUCAUUGCAUCGGGUUCUAUCCGGUCCGUUCUAGUUUCAUUAACUUUUUUUUUACCAGAAAUAAAUAUUUGCAGUGUUGUUUUUUUUAUUGCAAUAAAAAAAAUUGCUGCUAAACUCGUGACCAUGUAGCGUGAAAAAGGAGACCCCCCCCCCCUCUUUUUUUUUUUUACCUACAUUAAAAACUUUUCUAAUCUUCACUUUUUCAACUGGUGAAUGCAAGGCGUUGCCUUCAAGUUACCUAGCUGCACCCUUUCCCUCUCUUCUAGAGCUUCUAGAUCCUCUAAGUGAUUGUACGUGCUACAACGUUGAGAGUUAAAUAGGCACACACACACACACAUACACUGCUACAUACACAACGCUUCAAUUUUUUUCUUAAGAAAAUAUUACACCAUACUUCUUAUUAUAUGUGCCACUAAUUAGCCCUUUUGAUGUUUAAGAAAAUGCAGACAAACAAAACCGAUAUUUUUUGACAUUAUGUUUGGAAUGCAAGCUUUCAUAGGAGACACAAUUCUUUAUUGAGCUAAUUGCUUCUGCAAUAUUCUAUUAGACGUUUAAAGCAACUACACUAUGUCUGUAGCAAAAGGUCAUCUAAUUGAUGCUAAAUAUUGUCAUUUUAAAACAAAAUGUUGAUCUACAAAGUUAAAUAAAUUUAUAUUUUAAUAAUAAAAAUUUAAAAAUUAGAGGAAACUUUUUUCGUAGUUAGAGAACUCAAAUCUAAUUAUAAAUUAACAAUAAAAGGAUUAAAUGAAAUGUUAGUAGCAAAAUCGUUGUGUUCGUAUAGCAUACUGUUGUGUCAAAUGGAUUGCGCAACCAAUGUACAUUUGGGAUUCGUGGUUGGAUGAAACGAUAUCACCUCUUAGAUUUUAAUGUAUUUUUUUGAUUUCUUAAUACAUAGUAAGUUUAAAAGUUUAAUAAUAUUUUUUUAAAUAGAGUAAAUAAAUAUUUAGCGAUACACAUCAAAUGUUAAUGAAUUGAUUUGCAAUUUACCUUUUUAUUUAUUAAACAACUUUUCAUUUGAA
This is a long non-coding RNA of Biomphalaria glabrata, 6683 nucleotides long. RefSeq lists it as uncharacterized. The transcript is spliced from 2 exons. Lineage: Eukaryota; Metazoa; Mollusca; Gastropoda; Planorbidae. The record is from RefSeq and is a predicted model, not a curated record.